AUUGAACGCUGGCGGCAGGCCUAACACAUGCAAGUCGAGCGGAUGAAGGGAGCUUGCUCCUGGAUUCAGCGGCGGACGGGUGAGUAAUGCCUAGGAAUCUACCUGGUAGUGGGGGAUAACGUCCGGAAACGGGCGCUAAUACCGCAUACGUCCUGAGGGAGAAAGUGGGGGAUCUUCGGACCUCACGCUAUCAGAUGAGCCUAGGUCGGAUUAGCUAGUUGGUGGGGUAAAGGCCUACCAAGGCGACGAUCCGUAACUGGUCUGAGAGGAUGAUCAGUCACACUGGAACUGAGACACGGUCCAGACUCCUACGGGAGGCAGCAGUGGGGAAUAUUGGACAAUGGGCGAAGGCCUGAUCCAGCCAUGCCGCGUGUGUGAAGAAGGUCUUCGGAUUGUAAAGCACUUUAAGUUGGGAGGAAGGGCAGUAAGUUAAUACCUUGCUGUUUUGACGUUACCAACAGAAUAAGCACCGGCUAACUUCGUG
RNAcentral lists this ribosomal RNA (484 nucleotides) under uncultured bacterium. Its description in RNAcentral is "partial 16S ribosomal RNA". It matches the Rfam family "Bacterial small subunit ribosomal RNA", at positions 30 to 507 of the family's 1533-position model. The record is from RNAcentral.